CAGGUUGUCAGACGUCAGGAGAAAGGCAACACGACAGAUUCCACCAUAACAAUAAUGACUACUUUGAUUGUAUUUGUCGCCAUCUUGGCUUGUGCCUGGGCAGCACCAUGUGUACACAAUAACCAUGCUGAUUUAGAAGAAGAACAUGUUAUUAAUAUGGUCAUUGAGGCUGCUGAUUUUAAUGAUGAUGGUGUUCUCAGUGAAUUAGAUCUUGCUCAUUUCCUUGGUCGCUAUGAUGCUAACAAUAAUAAUAAGGUAGAAAAGGUAGAAUUUGCCAAUGGAUGGGUUGCGAAUUACCAUGAUGAGAGAGCUUUUGCAGAACACGUGUUUGAUUUCCUAAAUACUUAUGAUGAUGAUGGUGCUCUAGAUAUUGCUGACGUUCCUGCGCUAAUAGUGAGAGCAGAUACAUCAGGUGAUAGUAUAGUUCAAGUAUCAGAAAUGAGAACAUAUUUGGAAGCUAUUUACAACGCUUGUUAAUAAGAUUACACGAAAUAGCCAAUAAACCACAAAUAAACAGUAUAAAAAACACAAAUUGUUUGGAUUUUCAUUAAGUUGUUUUGACAAGAUGUUGUUCAAGCAUCAAUUUAUUCA
Patella vulgata (common limpet) is the source of this 591-nucleotide long non-coding RNA. RefSeq lists it as uncharacterized. The transcript has 6 exons. The record is from RefSeq and is a predicted model, not a curated record. NCBI's taxonomy places the organism in Eukaryota, Metazoa, Mollusca, Gastropoda, Patellidae.